RNAcentral lists this ribosomal RNA (283 nucleotides) under uncultured bacterium. Its description in RNAcentral is "partial 16S ribosomal RNA". It matches the Rfam family "Bacterial small subunit ribosomal RNA", at positions 334 to 608 of the family's 1533-position model. The record is from RNAcentral.
UUGUCCCUACGGGACGCAGCAGUAGGGAAUCUUCCACAAUGGGCGAAAGCCUGAUGGAGCAACGCCGCGUGGGUGAAGAAGGUCUUCGGAUCGUAAAACCCUGUUGUUAGAGAAGAAAGUGCGUGAGAGUAACUGUUCACGUUUCGACGGUAUCUAACCAGAAAGCCACGGCUAACUACGUGCCAGCAGCCGCGGUAAUACGUAGGAGGCAAGCGUUAUCCGGAUUUAUUGGGCGUAAAGAGAACGCAGGCGGUCUUUUAAGACUGAUGUGAAAGCCUUCGGC